GUUUUGAUAGCUCAGUGGCUAGAGCGCCCCCCGUCUGUCGGUGGGAGGCCCAGGUUCGAGUCCCGGUCAAGACC
This 74-nucleotide transfer RNA is filed under the name Plutella xylostella (diamondback moth). It matches the Rfam family "tRNA". Rfam says of the family: Transfer RNA (tRNA) molecules are approximately 80 nucleotides in length. Their secondary structure includes four short double-helical elements and three loops (D, anti-codon, and T loops). Lineage: Eukaryota; Metazoa; Arthropoda; Insecta; Lepidoptera; Plutellidae. The record is from Rfam by way of RNAcentral.